This 291-nucleotide ribosomal RNA is filed under the name Triticum aestivum (bread wheat). Its description in RNAcentral is "partial small subunit ribosomal RNA". Lineage: Eukaryota; Viridiplantae; Streptophyta; Magnoliopsida; Poales; Poaceae. The record is from RNAcentral.
AUGGGCCACGCCCCAAGGAGGUUGGUCUCUGCCCUCUAUGUAAAGCCACCAUGGGUGCCCGUUGAAGUGAGAAUCGGUCAGAAGUGGAGACGAGCAAAUGUUUUAAGGCAAGCUGAUCGCAGGGGACUCUGUCUUGUGAGCAUCAGAGGGCCGGCGCCCGAGUCUGACCCUAUAAUGGUACCGCUAUCAACGAUCCGGAUACCUUCUGACCCUCCUGUUGCUAGGAAAAGACCAGACACUCGCCCUAAUUUCCGAGUGAAGAAGCCCACCGCCGAAGGCGGUAGCGAGUAG